AGUGAACGCUGGCGGUAGGCCUAACACAUGCAAGUCGAACGGCAGCACAGUAAGAGCUUGCUCUUACGGGUGGCGAGUGGCGGACGGGUGAGGAAUACAUCGGAAUCUACUUUUUCGUGGGGGAUAACGUAGGGAAACUUACGCUAAUACCGCAUACGACCUACGGGUGAAAGCAGGGGAUCUUCGGACCUUGCGCGACUGAAUGAGCCGAUGUCGGAUUAGCUAGUUGGCGGGGUAAAGGCCCACCAAGGCGACGAUCCGUAGCUGGUCUGAGAGGAUGAUCAGCCACACUGGAACUGAGACACGGUCAAGACUCCUACGGGAGGCAGCAGUGGGGAAUAUUGGACAAAGGGCGCAAGCCUGAUCCAGCCAUACCGCGUGGGUGAAGAAGGCCUUCGGGUUGUAAAGCCCUUUUGUUGGGAAAGAAAAGCAGCAGGUUAAUACCCCGCUGUUCUGACGGUACCCAAAGAAUAAGCACCGGCUAACUUCGUG
Molecule: ribosomal RNA, 492 nt
Filed under: uncultured bacterium
Lineage: Bacteria
Description: partial 16S ribosomal RNA
Rfam family: Bacterial small subunit ribosomal RNA
Source: RNAcentral